Long non-coding RNA from Apis dorsata (giant honeybee), 463 nucleotides. RefSeq lists it as uncharacterized. NCBI's taxonomy places the organism in Eukaryota, Metazoa, Arthropoda, Insecta, Hymenoptera, Apidae. The record is from RefSeq and is a predicted model, not a curated record. The transcript has 3 exons.
UUUAUUCAUUCAAAAUUAAAUACUAUAUAAACAACAUAACCAAGUAAUAUAUUGUAUCUGUAAUAAUUAGUGUGAUAUAAUUUGUAAUCAAUUAUAUAUUAAUAUUAAAUUUUAAAAUAUCACAUUUAUCGGAUCACAAAGGAGUAGACAUUUUCAUUUUUUACGAAAAUAAAGUACGUAAAAUUUUAUAUAAAAUUACUAUAAAAAUGAAUCAUAAUAUUCAUCUAUUAAUAUGUCUUACUGGUAUUAUUGCUAUUCAUGUUGGUUGGAAUAUGGUACAGAAAUUAAGACCAGAAAAGGAUCAACGUAAACAUCCUUUUAUAGAAUUAUACGAUGAUUUCAUAAAUUCAAGUGACAAUAAAUAAAAUAUUAUUUAGGCAGGUGAUCAAAAUUCUGUUGAUAAUUCAUGGAGGAGCUUUUCGGCCGAUUUUCAUUUUGACUGUGUACCGAAGCACCAGCCUUA